Molecule: ribosomal RNA, 1257 nt
Filed under: Triticum aestivum (bread wheat)
Lineage: Eukaryota; Viridiplantae; Streptophyta; Magnoliopsida; Poales; Poaceae
Description: partial small subunit ribosomal RNA
Source: RNAcentral
AUGCAUAGCCUCACCAACCUCCGGCUCUACAAUAACAACCUCGUCGGCAACAUCCCGCACCAACUCUGCAGGCACCUCUCCAUCCAGAUACUGGACCUGUCAAACAACCAGCUCACCGGGGAUCUUCCGCACUGCUGGUGCAACUUCCAGGCUCUGAUGUUCAUGGACCUAUCGAACAACCGCCUCACCGGGAAGCUCCCGGACUGCUGGUGGAACCUAGAGGCUCUGAUUUUCAUGGAUCUAUCCAACAACUCCUUCUAUGGUAAAAUCCCCGCAGCUGUGGCAAGCCACAACUGCUCUCUUAAGUCUCUUUACCUUGCCGGAAAUGGUUUCGUUGGUGCAUUCCCGCCGGUUCUAGAGGGCUGCAACUCGCUGGACACCCUGGACAUGGGGAAUAACAAGUUCUUUGGAGUUAUUCCUCCAUGGAUCGGGAGUCAGAUCCCAUUGUUGAGAAUCCUUAGCCUCAAAUCAAACAAUUUCACUGGAGAAAUUCCUCUGGAGUUAUCACGCCUUUUGCAACUUCAGCUGCUCGACAUGGCAAACAAUAGCUUGACUGGCUUGAUUCCGGUAGCCUUAGGCAGCUUGACCUCCAUGAAGCAUCCACAAAAUCUAUCGACUACGGAACUAUCCAAUGAGUGGAAAUACUAUGAUAGAAUCGAAAUAAUUUGGAAGGGCCACGAACAGUUCUUUGGAAAAGCGAUCCAGUUAUUAACCGGUAUCGAUUUGUCGGGCAAUUUGUUGUCUCGGUGCAUUCCUGAAGAGCUAAUCAACCUUCAGGGCCUCCAAUUUCUAAACCUGUCGAGAAACCAUCUGUCAUGUAGCAUUCCUGAAAACAUUGGUAGUUUGACUUUUCUCGAGUCCCUUGAUCUAUCAUCUAAUGGACUUACAGGAGCCAUUCCAUCGAGCAUGUCAAGCUUACCGUGGCUCACCAUGUUGAACGUCUCGAACAAUCUUUUGUCGGGCAAGAUACCCACCGGGAAUCAGCUUCAGACCCUGACUGACCCAUCAAUUUACUCCAACAAUUCUGGGCUCUGCGGAUUUCCCCUAAACAUUUCGUGUGCCAAUACUUCGCUUGCACCGGAUGAGAGAAAUGGUGAAGAGGAGGAUCACUGGAUGUACUACUGUGUAAUUGCUGGGAUUCUGUCUGGUCUCUGGUUGUGGUUUGGGAUGCUCUUUACAGUGAAGUCCUGGAGAUGUGGUUUUCUUUCCUUUGUUGAUGGCAUGCAAUGUAAAAUUAUGAAAAAGGUGUGACAUUAG